GAUGAACGCUGGCGGCGUGCUUAACACAUGCAAGUCGAACGAAGCACUUUAUUUGAUUUCCUUCGGGACUGAUUAUUUUGUGACUGAGUGGCGGACGGGUGAGUAACGCGUGGGUAACCUGCCUUGUACAGGGGGAUAACAGUUGGAAACGGCUGCUAAUACCGCAUAAGCGCACAGCAUCGCAUGAUGCAGUGUGAAAAACUCCGGUGGUAUAAGAUGGACCCGCGUUGGAUUAGCUAGUUGGUGAGGUAACGGCCCACCAAGGCGACGAUCCAUAGCCGACCUAAUAGGGUGACCGGCCACAUUGGGACUGAGACACAGCCCAAACUCCUACGGGAGGCAGCAGUGGGGAAUAUUGCACAAUGGGCGAAAGCCUGAUGCAGCGACGCCGCGUGAGCGAAGAAGUAUUUCGGUAUGUAAAGCUCUAUCAGCAGGGAAGAUAAUGACGUUACCUGACUAAGAAGCACCGGCUAAAUACGUG
RNAcentral lists this ribosomal RNA (481 nucleotides) under uncultured bacterium. RNAcentral's name for it is "partial 16S ribosomal RNA". It matches the Rfam family "Bacterial small subunit ribosomal RNA", at positions 28 to 507 of the family's 1533-position model. The record is from RNAcentral.